AGGGGAUGGGAGGAGGGGUUUACCCAAAUGGGAUUAAUAAAUGGGAGGCAAUUUGGUAAUGAAGUUUGGAGUUCUCCAAAGAAAUGGGUUCUAUUUGAAGAGGAAGAUAUGUCAAAGGGACCAAACACUUUGCCACCGAGAAGCAUCAGACAGUCUAGUUGAAUAGCAAGUACGCUGCAUUGUUGAGUUUGGUUCCAAACACAAAGAAGAAUGGUGCUGGAAUACAAGAGGUAGCGGCAAUGCAACUGAACUGGAAGCAGCUUUCAGAACAGGUUCCAUCCUGCACCCAAACCAGAGAAUCAUACUUAAAAGGAAGAAGAGGUUGAUACUGGCUUGAAGGUUAAUAUUGAAAUCUGUUGGGAGAAUGGAUGAGAAUGUAUGUGUGUGGGACUCAACUGAUAGUAGCAAUGCAGAUGGUGAUGGUGUGGAUCCUGACAUUUGUGUUAUACCCAAACUCAAUA
Non-coding RNA from Prunus mume (Japanese apricot), 461 nucleotides. The record is from RefSeq and is a predicted model, not a curated record. Lineage: Eukaryota; Viridiplantae; Streptophyta; Magnoliopsida; Rosales; Rosaceae.